This 207-nucleotide ribosomal RNA is filed under the name uncultured bacterium. RNAcentral describes it as "partial 16S ribosomal RNA". It matches the Rfam family "Bacterial small subunit ribosomal RNA", at positions 568 to 774 of the family's 1533-position model. The record is from RNAcentral.
CGCGUAGGCGGACGUCUAAGUCAGGGGUGAAAUCCCGAGGCUCAACCUCGGAAUUGCCUUUGAUACUGGAUGUCUCGAGACCGGAAGAGGUGAGUGGAACUGCGAGUGUAGAGGUGAAAUUCGUAGAUAUUCGCAAGAACACCAGUGGCGAAGGCGGCUCACUGGUCCGGUUCUGACGCUGAGGCGCGAAAGCGUGGGGAGCAAACA